This 254-nucleotide ribosomal RNA is filed under the name uncultured bacterium. Its description in RNAcentral is "partial 16S ribosomal RNA". It matches the Rfam family "Archaeal small subunit ribosomal RNA", at positions 474 to 727 of the family's 1478-position model. The record is from RNAcentral.
CACCAGCGCCUCGAGUGGGGAUCGCGAUUAUUGGGCCUAAAGCGUCCGUAGCAGGCUUUGUAGAUCCUUUGUGAAAUCGGCAGGCUUAACCUGUCGGCGGGCAGAGGAGACCGCAGAGCUUGAGACCGGGAGAGGUCAGAAGUAUUCCUAGGGUACCGGUAAAAUGGGUUAAUCCUGGGAGGACUACCAAUGGCGAAGGCAUCUGACCAGAACGGUUCUGACUGUGAGGGACGAAAGCUAGGGGAGCAAAACGG